GACGAACGCUGGCGGCGUGCUUAACACAUGCAAGUCGAACGGAAAGGCCCUGCUUGCAGGGUACUCGAGUGGCGAACGGGUGAGUAACACGUGGGUGAUCUGCCCUGCACUUCGGGAUAAGCCUGGGAAACUGGGUCUAAUACCGGAUAGGAGCCAUUUUUAGUGUGAUGGUUGGAAAGUUUUUUCGGUGUAGGAUGAGCUCGCGGCCUAUCAGCUUGUUGGUGGGGUAAUGGCCUACCAAGGCGGCGACGGGUAGCCGGCCUGGGAGGGUGGACGGCCACAUUGGGACUGAGAUACGGCCCAGACUCCUACGGGAGGCAGCAGUGGGGAAGAUUGAACAAUGGGCGCAAGCCUGAUGCAGCGAGGCCGCGUGGGGGAUGACGGCCUUCGGGUUGUAAACUCCUUUCGCUAGGGACGAAGCUUUUUGUGACGGUACCUAGAUAAGAAGCACCGGCUAACUACGUG
RNAcentral lists this ribosomal RNA (465 nucleotides) under uncultured bacterium. RNAcentral describes it as "partial 16S ribosomal RNA". It matches the Rfam family "Bacterial small subunit ribosomal RNA", at positions 28 to 507 of the family's 1533-position model. The record is from RNAcentral.